Molecule: long non-coding RNA, 1140 nt
Organism: Paramisgurnus dabryanus
Lineage: Eukaryota; Metazoa; Chordata; Actinopteri; Cypriniformes; Cobitidae
Source: RefSeq, a predicted model, not a curated record
UAUUAUGGAUGGAGAAGUUGCCAGCAAAUGUCGGUAAGCAUGCAUCAACUUUCUUUAGACUGAGUCGUGCUGGAGGUGUAAUCGGAGGAGCUGGAGACGCAGCGCUGGUUGGAUUUCUGGUGCAAUGAUGGCUGGGAAAGGUAUGAAGCAUGCUUUGGGUCUCGGACGGCCUUAGCCAACGGUUUGGCACGGAUGGUUAUGUUGUGGCCAUACCAACUUACCCGGGGGCACUGAGCAAAUAUUAAUGGUGCCAGUGGGGCUUCGACAGCCUUAGCCAACGGGUAGGGCGGUUAUGGUUGUACUGUGGUGUUUUGCCAUACCGGCCUGGGGGCACUGAGCAUAUGAAAAAGGUGCCAGUGGGCUUUAACAGCCUUAGCCAACAGGUAGGGCGGUUAUGGUUGUGCUGUGGUGUUUUGCCAAACCGACCUGGGGGCACUGAGCAUAUGAAAAAGGUGCCAGUGGGCUUUAAAAGCCUUAGCCAACAGGUAGGUGGUUAUGGUUGUGGUGUUUUGACAGAGGAAACGGCAUGCAAUGAGUAAGUAUUAACGAUAAUAAUAGGGCUCGGACAGCAAUAUGCAAUGGGUUGGCCUGUAUGGUUGUGCACGUAUGAUUGUGUGUGUCACUGAGCUAACAGGACAGUAGUGCAGCAACUGGAAGCAGCAGGACAAAGAAAUGAGCACUGUGGCAACUUCAGGGAGGACACUGGACAAUAAAGGCAGCAGCGGCAGACAGAAUGCAGUGAGGAUUAGUAAGGCAGCUCCAGAGAGGACACAUAACAUUGCAGUUGGAGCUUGGAGACUAUGAACCCUGUCAACAGCUAGAUACAAUUCUGCAAUAUACUAAUUGAGGCCAUAGGAAAGAAAAUGCGUAUGACAUCAAGGACCAGAGCAAGGUGAAGUCUGAAGAAGCAAAGAAAGCAGUAUGCCAAAGCACCAAGGAUACCCAGCAUGCACUGCAUGUCAUCUCAGAUUCAGCGGCUCAAUGGCUUCAUUGGACCUCCUCCAGUAUAAUUAUUUAACCAAUCUUAAUGUGUUCAUAAAUAUUUCUAUUGUCAUAUUAUUCAAUACAUUUGCAUUUCUAUAUAUACUAACUUUUUAUAAUUAAGGUGAAAUUUAUGUGCUGUACCAGAGGAGGAUGGGU